Molecule: transfer RNA, 71 nt
Filed under: Loxodonta africana (African savanna elephant)
Lineage: Eukaryota; Metazoa; Chordata; Mammalia; Proboscidea; Elephantidae
Rfam family: tRNA
About the family: Transfer RNA (tRNA) molecules are approximately 80 nucleotides in length. Their secondary structure includes four short double-helical elements and three loops (D, anti-codon, and T loops).
Source: Rfam by way of RNAcentral
GCAUUGGUAAUUCAGUGGUAGAAUUCUCACUUUUCAUGCUGGGGACCUGGGUUUGGUUCCCAGCCAACGCA